RNAcentral lists this long non-coding RNA (723 nucleotides) under Pan paniscus (pygmy chimpanzee). RNAcentral's name for it is "lncRNA (ENSPPAG00000045513.1)". The record is from RNAcentral. Lineage: Eukaryota; Metazoa; Chordata; Mammalia; Primates; Hominidae.
ACUGGAGUCCCUGCAGGCAGUCACAGAGCGCCUUAGUGCAGCUGAGCCUGUGUUCAGGUCUCUAGACUCUCAGCCUGGUGCUCUCAGUUCUCUACCAUGUUGCUUCUUUCAUUAAGCAGGGCCUUCCAUGUGAUGGGCACCAAGUAACUGUUUGAUUAUUACCAGAGGCAGCAUAACCAGAGGCAGCACAGCCUGGUCUCCCUCUGGGGUGUGAAAAACUGACACUACAUCCUUUCUUGAAAGCAGAAGGUGACAGAAAGGUAAUGAGAUUGUUGGUGCCUGUAGGAGGGAUGGGAGAAGCAGAGCUUCGAAGGAUGAAAAGGAGUACCAAAGAGUCUGGCUAGGCCUAUGGAGAUGACCUUUGCUGAUGUACAUUUUCCAGUUCCACACCGAGUGUCAACGACAGAGAUGGAGGCUAUUGAUCAAGAUCCUUGUGGACCCACCCACACAUUCUUCAUAGAAUCAUGGCUGACAAAGUGACAUGCUAUGUGUUUUCACAAUGACAUAGAGAUUGAAAAUGGAAAAGAAGACACCCAAAAAAGAUGACAAGGUAAAAGCAAGGUGACUUGGGUUGAAUUCACUUUUCCCCAUGGGAGAACUCAGAUUGUAUUGACAGUGGGAAGACCAGAUCAGCAACAUUGGGUUACAAGGAGAGCCCAGGUAAGCAUUGUUUAAACAUGAAAUCUGCAUAAAAAAGGCAAGCUGCUAUAAUCGCAGUAGCAA